Molecule: ribosomal RNA, 253 nt
Filed under: uncultured prokaryote
Description: partial 16S ribosomal RNA
Rfam family: Bacterial small subunit ribosomal RNA
Source: RNAcentral
GACAGAGGAUGCAAGCGUUAUCCGGAAUGAUUGGGCGUAAAGCGUCUGUAGGUGGCUUAAAAAGUCUCCUGUCAAAGAUCAGGGCUUAACCCUGGGCCGGCAGGAGAAACUCUUAGGCUCGAGUUUGGUAGGGGCAGAGGGAAUUCCCGGUGGAGCGGUGAAAUGCGUAGAGAUCGGAAAGAACACCAACGGCGAAAGCACUCUGCUGGGCCGACACUGACACUGAGAGACGAAAGCUAGGGGAGCGAAUGGG